GAGUGCAGUGGCAGGAUCUCAGCUCACUGCAACCUCUGCCUUCUGGGUUCAAGUGAUUCUCCUGCUUCAGCCUCCUGAGUAGCUGGGACAAUUUACGUGAGCCACCAUGCCCAGCUAAUUUUUGUAUUUUUUGUAGAGACGGGGUUUCACCAUGUUGGUCAGGAUGGUCUUGAUCUCUUGACCUCGUGAUCUGCCUGCUUUGGCCUCCCAAAGUGCUGGGAUUACAGGCGUGAGCCACUGCGCCCGGCCUCUUCUCUUUUUAGAUAAAAUAAUGAGAUGCUACGUCGUAGGAUCUGUCUCUGAGUCCACAUUGCGGGAGAAAAGACCAUUCUUCGGAAAGAUGCAGAGGAAGCCCCGUACCUCAAGGGAUUGAGAUGGGAGACUGAGGGAAUCCUGGGGUCUCUGCCCUCUCCCUCACUGGGAAACAAGCUCUGUUUCUUCAUGUGCCGGAGCCCUGCCUCUGUGGGUGCAGCCUGAGGACAAAGGCAGUGCUGCAUCCCCUGAUCCCCUGCCCCCUACAACCUCCUGCCCAGCCUCUUGGGUGCUCCUCAGCUUGUCAUCAGGGAGGAAGCAGCCAUCUCCUCCGAUGACUGACUUCAAGCCUCAACUCUCCCACAGCUUCUCAAAAGCCAAGGCUGAGGCCAAGUCCUAGCUGCUGCCUUGGGACAGGUCAAGGGCCUCCUGCAAUCUCAUGCACAAACUGGUACCCAUGAGCAUGUGGCCUAAGAGAUUUAUUGACCCCUCUCCAAGUCCUUGCCAGAGGAAUCCUGCACACCUAUAUCCACAAUGAAGGGAGCCAUAUCCCCAGCUGGGUAGCCAUAUCCCUAAUGAUAUCACUUAUGAAAGGUGACAAGUCCUUUCUACCACUCUUAUUUAAGUGAAAAUAUAUUUAGUCAAUUAUG
Gorilla gorilla gorilla (western lowland gorilla) is the source of this 902-nucleotide long non-coding RNA. RefSeq lists it as uncharacterized. Lineage: Eukaryota; Metazoa; Chordata; Mammalia; Primates; Hominidae. The record is from RefSeq and is a predicted model, not a curated record. The transcript has 2 exons.